GAUGAACGCUGGCGGCGUGCCUAAUACAUGCAAGUCGAGCGAACAGACGAGGAGCUUGCUCCUCUGACGUUAGCGGCGGACGGGUGAGUAACACGUGGAUAACCUACCUAUAAGACUGGGAUAACUUCGGGAAACCGGAGCUAAUACCGGAUAAUAUAUUGAACCGCAUGGUUCAUUAGUGAAAGACGGUUUUGCUGUCACUUUUAGAUGGAUCCGCGCCGCAUUAGCUAGUUGGUAAGGUAACGGCUUACCAAGGCAACGAUGCGUAGCCGACCUGAGAGGGUGAUCGGCCACACUGGAACUGAGACACGGUCCAGACUCCUACGGGAGGCAGCAGUAGGGAAUCUUCCGCAAUGGGCGAAAGCUUGACGGAGCAACGCCGCGUGAGUGAUGAAGGUCUUCGGAUCGUAAAACUCUGUUAUUAGGGAAGAACAAAUGUGUAAGUAACUGUGCACGUCUUGACGGUACCUAAUCAGAAAGCCACGGCUAACUACGUG
Molecule: ribosomal RNA, 497 nt
Filed under: uncultured bacterium
Lineage: Bacteria
Description: partial 16S ribosomal RNA
Rfam family: Bacterial small subunit ribosomal RNA
Source: RNAcentral